UGGCUGAGCACCAAAAGCUUAACAAAGCCAUCACGAGCUCUCGAUCUAAGCUCAUCUCGAUGGUUCUCCAUCCGGGUAACCCAAGGGACCCAGGUCGCUGUGGUCAGGGCCAAACGCCCUGGGGUCUGGCCGAUUCCCAUUUCGACCAGUCCUAAGAAUAAGGAUUUUAGGCAGUGCUCCUUAAACAUUUCGAUGAUUGCUUCUGGAACAUUAUCCUUGAACAAUGGGCCUAGGGUCUAGGGGGAGGUGUUUGGCUCAUCUUCAAACCGGAUGGUUUUGAUCGUGUUUCGGUUGGCAAUGUUUUGACACUUGCUGCACUCCUCGAUUAACUUGUUGAUUAAAACAUUGAUUACCAUUGGAGAAGAAGGUUUUCUGGGUAUUGGAGGCUGGUUUUCUGGUUUUUCAAAAGAAAAUGGCGAAGAGAUUUAAGAGAAAAUGGCAAAGGGAUUUGAGGUUUCUGUAAGCGUAAAAGGUUGAAUGAAAAGAGGUGAGUAUUUAUAGGCAUUUUGGGGGAAGAUCCAACGGUUUAAUGUUUAAAAUGAGGGAUAAUAUUAAUAGGGGGAUUUGGUAAUCAUGAUGAAUAUUCAAAGGAUCUAAGUGAAGAGAUCGAAAAACUCGCAGAUCGAGACUACACGAUGGCAUUGACGACAAGCUUAAUGGUGAAGAGACGUUUGAGUAUUUGCACAUCUCAAAAAGAUCGGAAAUUCAUGGAUCAAGGUUAUAAUGAUGGCGUGUGGUGGAUAGUUUAGUUUUGAGGAGGCGUUUAAGUGUUAAGUAAGGACAAACAUGCCAGGGAGAUGCCACGUGGUAGGGUGUGUCAAAAUUAAGAUCGUGCAAUCAUGCUUUAUAAAUGCGCCUGGUGGAUGGAAUAUUCGAGACUUUUCAUCGUCUUUUAAAGAUACCUUAAGGGUUUGAUUUCACUUCUUCAAGGUCGAAACUCGGCUAAGGAGUUUAAGGUCGAAGACCUCAGAAGUGAGGGGGCAAUGUUUAGCCCCAAAAUAAUAUUAUUGGGCUAACCUUAGGUUUGUUUUCAAUCCAAUGCUCUUCCGAAAAUACUAUGGAUCGUCCAAGCUAUCAUAACUCGCCAAUCAGGUCGGUCGAGUCCUGUUGCAAGAAUGAUUGAUUUGGAUAAAAUCGAAGAAGUUGAGUCUUGGUACAACAAGGGGGUUUCAGAAUUGAAGGCAUUGGGAAUUCGGGAGUGAAUCUAAUUCAUUAUAGAGGUUGGUUCACAAACCUAUUAGAACUAGGAUUGGCCGAAUCCUAAUAAGAUUAGAUUUGGGAGUUUUUGUCCUGGUAUAUCUCUGGUUCGGCCAGGAGUAGGUUCACUACUAUAUAUAUAUAGGGGAGUGCAUCAUUCAGGGCCCCUCCAAAUCAACACAAAAAACUGCUCUGCGCAAACUCUCUCUACACGAAUCCUUUUAACAACCUUGAGAUUUUUAUUUUCUUUUUUCGCCAACACAUUUUCAGUUUGGAUAAACAGCACUGUGAAGGCAACCGGCGAAUAUCUUCAGUUUGGAUAAACAACACUAUUACAGU
RNAcentral lists this long non-coding RNA (1536 nucleotides) under Malus domestica (apple). RNAcentral describes it as "long non-coding RNA (MDOM_LNC000526)". Lineage: Eukaryota; Viridiplantae; Streptophyta; Magnoliopsida; Rosales; Rosaceae. The record is from RNAcentral.